This is a long non-coding RNA of Onychostruthus taczanowskii (white-rumped snowfinch), 1179 nucleotides long. RefSeq lists it as uncharacterized. The record is from RefSeq and is a predicted model, not a curated record. NCBI's taxonomy places the organism in Eukaryota, Metazoa, Chordata, Aves, Passeriformes, Passeridae. The transcript has 5 exons.
UCCCCGCCCGGCCGUGUGGGGAGGGAGCUCCGCGCUCCCCGGGGACGGCCCGGGCUCGGCUGGCGCCUGCCUGCCGCCGCACAGCCAGCGGGCCGCUUCGGUGGCCGUGACAGAACAAAGGCAUGUGUGUUGUGCCUGCCCCCGCCGCCGUCGGCAGCGGGAGAGCGCUAGUUGUGCUGAAAUGCGGGGGUUGCCCCGGAACGCACCGAAGAUGAAUGCGUGAGGUAGAAAUCACUCAGCUGUGAUCAUCUGAUUGGAGGCUCUCGCUGGGGACUAAAAGUCAAUGAGAGUCUGCAUUGCACCUCAGAAGUGUCUGCUUUUCACUGGCAGUGACUGCAGAAGAGCCCUGCAGGACUGAUGUUUUGAAGCUGUGCCUGCUGACCCAUGGAAGACCAGCUAAAAUGCCUGAACUCCGCUUCCCAGUUUUGCUCAAGCAAGAAGGGAAAUGUAGGAAUUCUUCUCUUCAGAAAGGGGAAGAAGAGAGGAGAGAAAUAAGGGAACGGAACGAAUUUCUCUAGCACAUUGGAAGACGAGCAGAGGCGAGCACAAGCGGUAAGGGCUGUGCCUUAGCCCUCUCCUCACCCCGCUGUCCCCUCCUCUCCGCAGCCUCCCGUGCUCCAGGUACGCGCUGCUCCCAGCGCCAGCCUCCGCCUCCCGCCCCUUCUGCCCAGCGGCGGGGCCAGCCGCCCGCUCGUCUCCUCUCCUGCAAUGCUCCUUCCCCAGCUGCCUUUCCCCCUCUUCCCAAGGCACAGAGGCUGCAGCACGGCAAGGAGCUGGGGCUCCUAUUGCAAAGCCCCCAGCAACAACUGGGAAAGGCAACGGCGUGUGCGCGUACAUUUGCCAGAGAUUAGACUUCUUGGAAGGAAUCUGGACUUUAUCCCCCCCACCGCUGCCUCCUCGAUUAGCAGCUUGCAGCUUCCCGAGGUCAGCUCUCCUCAGAUUUGAACCCAGGUACCAGCCUGGGGCUCCAGAGGACUGAGCUCCAGCAAACUCUACAGCCACCCAUGGGUAAUCACACAGUAUGUGAGUGCCUGACUCUCCUCUUAUUCUGCUUCUUCUACACACCCAAAAGAAUUACUGAUAUAAAUGGCUCUAACAUCAGUUCUCCAAGACACUGCAUUUUUCCCACCAAUCAGGUACUGUUCCCAAGAUCCGGCCUGUAGUUUUGUGGUACUGCAG